Molecule: non-coding RNA, 3176 nt
Organism: Elaeis guineensis (African oil palm)
Lineage: Eukaryota; Viridiplantae; Streptophyta; Magnoliopsida; Arecales; Arecaceae
Source: RefSeq, a predicted model, not a curated record
GACCGUCCCUGACGAUAGGCUUCAUUGCAUAACAUGGACGCCUUUGCCUUGGCGGUGGGCUGCCACUCCUCGCCCACCACCCCCUUCCAGUCCCCUCCCAGUCCCCUCCCAAGAAAUCAUAGGUAUCCCCGCCGGAUCCCUGCUGUCUCAAAAACCCUAGAUAAACCCCAUGCCUCCACCUCUGCCGCUUCCUCCUCUUCUUCUCCGGCCACCAUUAGGCCCUCCAAUUCUUCUGCGAGGCGAAUCGCCAUUGCCGAAGUGGAAGCGUCGACCGACUUGGAUUCGACUCUCUCCAGGGUAGAGGGAAUAUUGCAAGUACAAGAUUAUAACAACAUUUUAUGCUAUUUUGGGGAGUUAAGAAGAUGGACCGAAGUUUCUCAGCUUUUUGAUUGGAUGCAGAGACAUGAGAAGCUUAAUUUUUCAUCAUAUAGCAGUUUUAUCAAAUACAUGGGAAUUAGUCACAACCCGAUGAAAGCUCUACAAGCUUAUGAUAGCAUCCCAGAUAAGUCAUUGAAGGUCAAUGUGUCCAUUUGUAAUUCUCUUCUUGGUUGUUUGGUGAAAAAUGGAAGGUUCGAGAGCAGUAUCAAGUUGUUUAAUCAGAUGAAAGAUGAUGGUCUAUCACCAGACUUGGUCACUUAUAGUACUCUUCUAUCAGGUUGCAGAAAAUUGAAGAAUGGCUACUCUAAGGCGAUGCAAUUGGUCCAGGAACUUGAAAAUAAAGGUCUGCAUAUGGAUGGUGUAAUCUAUGGCACUCUUUUGGCCACUUGUGCUUCAAAUAAUUUAUGUGAAGAAGCAGAGUCAUAUUUUCAGCAGAUGAAGGAUGAAGGUUGUCCUCCUAAUUUAUUUCAUUACAGCUCCCUACUUAAUGCUUAUUCAGUAGAUGGGAAUUAUGUGAAGGCCGAGAAAUUAGUAAAUGAUAUGAAAUCUUCAGGAUUGGUACCCAAUAAGGUUAUUUUGACUACUUUAUUGAAGGUGUACACUAGAGGUGGCCUUUUUGAAAAGUCGAAAGAACUAUUGGCUGAAUUAGAGUUUUUGGGAUAUGCUGAAGAUGAGAUGCCUUACUGUUUGUUGAUGGAUGGUCUUGCUAAGGCUGGACAUAUACAUGAAGCAAAGGCUUUAUUUGCUGAAAUGAAGCAAAAACAUGUGAAAUCUGAUGGAUAUGCCCACAGUAUAAUGAUUUCUGCAUUAUGUCGUGGUGGGUUACUGAAAGAAGGAAGAAUACUUGCAAAGGAAUUUGAAGCAAACUGCAACAAAUAUGAUUUAGUUAUGCUUAACACCCUGCUCAGGGCUUACUGCAACACGGGGGAUAUGGACAGCGUAAUGCAAGUGUUAGGAAAAAUGGAUAAGUUGGCAAUAUCUCCAGAUUGGAACACAUUUCAUAUUCUAAUAAAGUAUUUCUGUAAGGAAAAGCUGUAUCACCUUGCAUAUCGAACUAUUGAGGACAUGCAUGGUAGAGGCCAUCAAUUAAAUGAGGAUCUUUGUUCUUCGCUAAUUUUACAGUUAGGGCAAUCGGGUUUCCCAUCAGAAGCCUUUUCUGUUUAUAAUAUGUUGAGAUACAGUAAAAGAACAUUGUGCAAGUCCAUUCACGAGAAGAUGCUAGACCUGUUGGUUGCAGCAGGGCUUCUAAAAGAUGCUUAUGUAGUAAUGAAGGAUAAUAUGGAGUGGAUAUCCACCAGUUCUUUGGACAAAUUUGCUGUUUCAUUUAUGAGAUCAGGCAAUAUAAAUUUGAUAAAUGAUGUUUUUAAAGCAUUCCACCGUUCUAGACGCCAAAUUAAUCCGGACAUAUUCCGUGCAGCUGUUUCACGUUACCUUGGAAAACCUGAAAAGACACAGCUGCUUUUGCAACUUCUGCAAUGGAUGUCAAGACAUGGCUAUUGUGUAGACUCAUCAUCAAGAAACUUGCUUCUUAAAAACUCACAUCUCUUUGGUCAAAAGCAGCUCAUAGCAGAAAUCUUAUCCAAACAACAUAUGAUGUCAAGGAAAUUGAGAAGCCAAGAGGUGAAGAAAUGAUAAAAUAACUUCCAAUGAGAAUCAAUCAAGCUUUGGACCAAGCCAUGGACAGAGGAUGGAAGUGGUUAAGCCACACCAGGUUCAUAGCAUUCUCAUAAGAAGGUUGUUGGCUCGAGCAAGACUCUUAAAGUAGGCCCAUGGGGAGGCCAUGGUGGAAGUGUUUGGGAUGAUGGUUGGUACAAUGGAGUUCGAGAGAUUACUUUGGUGUAUGAUCGGUGCAUUGAUUCAAUUCGGGUCUUGUAUGGCAAGAAGGGGAAGCCUGUUCUGGCAGAAAAGCAUGGAGGAAAUGGGGGUAACCUAACAGUCCAGGUAUAUACUCCUGUCAGAUAAAUCUUAUAUCAUAUGAAUCUAAAGAACUGAUUGAUUCUCUCAUGCCAGAAUUAUUAAAGUUAUAAGUGGCUGUUAGAAUUGCAGGAUUCAAACCAAAGGCCCACUCUCAAGUCAUAAUUUAAAUUUUUAUUUGAAGAUUAUUUUCCAAUGCUUCUCAUCUCUGUAUCAAGUGAAUUACUACUGCUUCCUACUGGCAUGUCAGUGCUCCUUGCUGCUAGCUUGAUAUGAUCUAAAUCACAAAGUAGCAUCCAAGCCAGAUCAAUUUUUAACCGCGUUGUAAAAUAUGUGGAGGACGAUUAAAGGCCUGGUUCUCUGACAGCAUGCUCCUACGAAGGUGUCAGAUAUGCUAGAUUUGCUUGUGGUACACCGCAGGUCACAUUGCAGUACCCCGAAGAGUUUCUAACAUCUGGUAAGCGGCCACUAUUCCCGUCGUGCAUGGCGGUUUUCAUUUCCUAUGGAUCGGGGGAUGAUAGUUGGCUUUAGUGGAAAGAGCGGUUGGUACCUUGAUGCUAUUGGCUUGUGUCUCUCAUCCAUCCCGAAACUCUCAGCCUGUGUGAAACGGUGCACCAAAAGCUUCGAAAGUUUGGGCAUUUGGCUACCAACUCAUUCAGGCAUCGUAAUGGGGAACAUGCUUCUCAUGCCACAGCUAGGACUCAAAGGGUCUCCAAUGUUUAAUGGAUGUAGUGCAACUAUGGAUGAUACGGAUAUUUUACAGUUCUUAGAAUUAUAUACAGGGUUUGGGAAAAAGAGAAGAAACCAAAAAAGAGAGCUGUGCCUAGAACUUAACUUUGAUCAUGAGACUUACAUGUUGAAACAAGUAAUUCUAUAAUUAUUAA